RNAcentral lists this RNase P RNA (349 nucleotides) under Methanohalobium evestigatum Z-7303. RNAcentral describes it as "Archaeal RNase P". It matches the Rfam family "Archaeal RNase P". From Rfam's summary of the family: Ribonuclease P (RNase P) is a ubiquitous endoribonuclease, found in archaea, bacteria and eukarya as well as chloroplasts and mitochondria. Its best characterised activity is the generation of mature 5'-ends of tRNAs by cleaving the 5'-leader elements of precursor-tRNAs. The record is from Rfam by way of RNAcentral. Lineage: Archaea; Methanobacteriati; Methanobacteriota; Methanomicrobia; Methanosarcinales; Methanosarcinaceae.
GAGAGAGGAAGGACGGCCGCCGGGUCUGUUGACCUGAGGAAAGUCUCCCCACCGUAAAAAUACACGAACGCCUGUAAAGGGCGUCAGGCGAGAGCCUGGGCAAUGGCACAGAAACGCUAUCGCCCCAUGUCAAUGCGGUGAUACCUGAUGGUUGAGGUCGCAUGGUGGCGAAUGGAACGGCGAAUCCUCGUGGGUGCAAGUCAGUUCCGGGAAAUGUGCCCGGAAAAUUUUAAUUGACGCUAAGCUGAAUACCGUCGCUGCAAGCGCUCGUUAUUUGAUGAGCCGUUCUGCAUCGUCUACAUGAUGCGGAACUUUUGCAGUAACAGAAGGGAGCUUACUCUCCUCACUC